RNAcentral lists this long non-coding RNA (363 nucleotides) under Mustela putorius furo (domestic ferret). RNAcentral describes it as "lncRNA (ENSMPUG00000027729.1)". Lineage: Eukaryota; Metazoa; Chordata; Mammalia; Carnivora; Mustelidae. The record is from RNAcentral.
GAUGGAGGGCCUGGGGUACUGGCACUGGAAAUGGUGUUCCCUGGGCUGCCAGGAAGAUUGCAGCUGUCAGUGGAAAAAGAAAACUGAAUGGUUUGUUCUGGUCCGGAAAGAAGAGGCUUGUUCAGCUUCUGUUCUAUGUGGUAAUGACUAAGGAUUGUGCUCCCUUCUUUGCUAAAGGUAUCCUGAACAUCCCGGGAUUUAUCAAGUAACAGAUGCUACACUAGCUAGGAGAAAAAGAAAAACCAAAUGCACAGUAGAGGAGAAAAGAUAUGAAAGAGGAAAGUGAAUUCUGGCAUCCAAAAGGACUGAUCAUUAAGCAGAAAGAAGAAUUUAAAGGCCAGUCUCUGAAAGGCCUCAAACAAG